UACGAACUGUGCGAACGUUAUUCGGAAUCACUGGGCUUACAGGGUGCGUAGGCGGCUUAGCAAGUCAGGUGUGAAAGCCCCCGGCUCAACCGGGGAACUGCGCUUGAAACUGCUGAGCUCGAGUCAGCUAGAGGUACACGGAACUUCCAAUGGAGCGGUGAAAUGUGUUGAUAUUGGAAGGAACACCGGAGGCGAAAGCGGUGUACUGGGGCUGGUCUGACGCUGAGGCACGAAAGCCAGGGGAGCAAACGGG
This 253-nucleotide ribosomal RNA is filed under the name uncultured bacterium. Its description in RNAcentral is "partial 16S ribosomal RNA". It matches the Rfam family "Bacterial small subunit ribosomal RNA", at positions 524 to 776 of the family's 1533-position model. The record is from RNAcentral.